GAUGAACGCUGGCGGCGUGCCUAAUACAUGCAAGUCGAGCGAACAGACGAGGAUCUUGCUCCUCUGACGUUAGCGGCGGACGGGUGAGUAACACGUGGAUAACCUACCUAUAAGACUGGGAUAACUUCGGGAAACCGGAGCUAAUACCGGAUAAUAUAUUGAACCGCAUGGUUCAAUAGUGAAAGACGGUUUUGCUGUCCCUUAUAGAUGGAUCCGCGCCGCAUUAGCUAGUUGGUAAGGUAACGGCUUACCAAGGCAACGAUGCGUAGCCGACCUGAGAGGGUGAUCGGCCACACUGGAACUGAGACACGGUCCAGACUCCUACGGGAGGCAGCAGUAGGGAAUCUUCCGCAAUGGGCGAAAGCCUGACGGAGCAACGCCGCGUGAGUGAUGAAGGUCUUCGGAUCGUAAAGCUCUGUUAUUAGGGAAGAACAAAUGUGUAAGUAACUAUGCACGUCUUGACGGUACCUAAUCAGAAAGCCACGGCUAACUACGUG
This 497-nucleotide ribosomal RNA is filed under the name uncultured bacterium. RNAcentral's name for it is "partial 16S ribosomal RNA". It matches the Rfam family "Bacterial small subunit ribosomal RNA", at positions 28 to 507 of the family's 1533-position model. The record is from RNAcentral.